CGGACAGCCGGACGCGGGUAGCUUGGCCGUUCCUUGCUCUGCGCAUCGCUUGAAAACCGGCGGUCAUCCUGCAGUGUACGCUGCCAGCGUGCUUUCUUGCCAGAGCCGCCUCCCCUGCUGGUGAUGACCAUAUGCAGCCAAUGCUGAUGUGAACCCGAGUGAUGAACAAAUGCAGAUCUGCAAAGGAGCUGUCCUGAGGCGCCAUGCUUACUCAAGUCAUGCAGCGAGAGUCAGCAUGCCUGGAAAAGUACUUCAAAGCACACCCCAUCUGGCUGACUGCACUACCUCAAGAAAACUGCCUUUCUCCCAUCUGCAAGUUCCUAAGAAGUUACUUUAUGAAGCAAGCCAGCAGGGCGUACGUGUGAGGCAUGGCAGCACGGAGAACAAAUAAACAUGAGUAUUUGGUGCAAGAUGCAUUCAUUGAUUUCGUGCUGC
Long non-coding RNA from Rhipicephalus sanguineus (brown dog tick), 435 nucleotides. RefSeq lists it as uncharacterized. The record is from RefSeq and is a predicted model, not a curated record. Lineage: Eukaryota; Metazoa; Arthropoda; Arachnida; Ixodida; Ixodidae. The transcript has 4 exons.